RNAcentral lists this ribosomal RNA (150 nucleotides) under Triticum aestivum (bread wheat). RNAcentral's name for it is "partial small subunit ribosomal RNA". Lineage: Eukaryota; Viridiplantae; Streptophyta; Magnoliopsida; Poales; Poaceae. The record is from RNAcentral.
AUGUUCCAUACUAAAGGAUUCGGGUCCAUAACCACGAGUUCCAGUGCACUAGAUCUUGUAGCACUUAGCAACGAAGCCCUAUCCAUUAGUAUUCCACAUAAGAAAUCCAUUCUAGAAAAAAAUACAAUUAGAUUAGCUCUUCAUCCCUAG